Molecule: long non-coding RNA, 254 nt
Filed under: Gallus gallus (chicken)
Lineage: Eukaryota; Metazoa; Chordata; Aves; Galliformes; Phasianidae
Source: RNAcentral
GUGGAAUUGUGGUGUCACUACCUCGAGAUGAUUUGCUGAGUGUCCCACUUGAUGUACCAGCAUCUGCUGACAAAGCCUGAACAUUUUCCAAAUCAUUCUCUUUGGAUUUUGAGCCCAGAUUUAUGAGAACCGCCUCCUCUUUUCCACUCGAAGCACGCACAGGAGAAGAUGAAGUUUCAGCAUAGAGGCGUUUCAGUACUUUCUUUAUGAACACUUCCUCCCUGCUGAGCGCCAUGGCCCAGCACGGCCCGACC